CCACAGAAUGAACUCAGUGCUACCCUAGAUGU
RNAcentral lists this non-coding RNA (32 nucleotides) under Rattus norvegicus (Norway rat). Lineage: Eukaryota; Metazoa; Chordata; Mammalia; Rodentia; Muridae. The record is from RNAcentral.